Molecule: long non-coding RNA, 1662 nt
Filed under: Lepisosteus oculatus (spotted gar)
Lineage: Eukaryota; Metazoa; Chordata; Actinopteri; Semionotiformes; Lepisosteidae
Description: lncRNA (ENSLOCG00000022687.1)
Source: RNAcentral
CUCCCCUGGCCCUUCAAUCAAGCCCCGCCCCCCUCCUCCCCGCUGGGCCGCUCCCUCAGCGUGGGCUCCUCCCCCUCCCGCGGGGCCCCCCCCCGGGCCCCCCCGGCCCUCAGCGCCCUGCGCGUCGACAGGCCCCGGCCCCCCCAGCUCAACGGCACGGCCAGCGGCCCCCCCAGGACCCGCCGGACCAGCCAGCAAGGCCUGGUCGCCAGGGGCAACCUCUACAGCCGCCACAUCAGCAGCGGGACCCUGCGGCCGUCGCCGGAGAAGCGACCGGCCCCGCCCAGGCAGCCAGGUGAGCCGGAGACGGACCCGGACCGCCCCGACUGGGCCAGAACCCAGACCCGGGACCGCGCGGCAGACACACAGGACAGACGACCGCAGUGCUCUGCACAGCCCCCUGUGCCUCCUCUCUCUCUCCCUCUGCCCCCCUCCUGCGAGACGGAGUCUUCUCUGGACCAGACCCCCCUGACACCCCCGGCCCCCCGCCCUGACUGCCCCCGGAGUGGGGGGCCACGAGACGGAGAGGCCGCCAAGGCCCCGGACGCCGGUCGGGACCCCCCCCGAGCGCCCCCCAGCCCCCCCCGGGCCUGGAGCACGGUGGUACAGCCCUUCACAGCCCAGUGGGUCCGUAGGAAACAGGAGUACCGGAGCACCAGGCCCUGGUGAGGCCGGGCAGGGCGACCCGGAGGAGGGGAGCCGGAGGAGGGGGGGGGGUAGGGGUGAGACCCAGACACUGGGGCGCCCUCUUCAGGGUUGACGUGGAGACCAGCUCUCACCUGACCUUUGACCCUGAAGAAGGAGCCUGUUUCACGUCUGCACGAGCCUAACAAACUCCAGAGGAAAAACACAGAGCUCACACACACACAGAGCUCACACACACUGACACACACACAGAGCCCACACACACACAGAGCUCACACACACUGACACACACAGAGAGUUCACACACACUGACACACACAAAGAGCUCACACACACACACACACAGAGAGCUCACACACACUGACACACACACACAGAGCCCACACACACUCACAAAUACACAGAGAGCUCACACACACAGAGCCCAGACACACACACUCACAUACACACAGAGCUCACACUGACACACACACACAGAGCUCACACACAGAGCUCACAAGCACCCACGCAGACACUUACACACAAACUGAUAAACACACACUAAGCUGAAAAAAUUGUGUCUGUGCUUCAGUGCCAUGUUUUGAUUUCAUGUAAUUCUGAAAGGGGGGAAGAAUGAGGAGAGCAGUGUCUUGUUCGCUAAGGCAGAAUCCCAAUAGGACCUUUCCAGAUCCCGGCUCUGUAAGAUAUGUUAAAUAUGCUCUCAGGCUGAAGUCCAAGCAAGAGAUCUCCUCUGUACAAUAUAAGGAUAUUUCACUAGUGCAAUACAAGUUCUCCAUACAAUAUAAAGAUAUUUCUCUAGUGCCAUCUGGGAUCUCCUCCCUAUACUACACAAGAUAUUUCACUGGUGCAAUACAAGAUCUCCUCUAUACACUAUAAGAAUAUUUCACCUCUGCAAUCAGAGAUCUAAUCUAUACACUACAAAAAUAUUUCACUUGUGCAAUACAAGAUCUCUGCACACUAAAAAUAUUUCACCACUGCAAUCAGAGAUCUCAUCUAUACACUAUAAGAAUAUUUCAC